This 468-nucleotide ribosomal RNA is filed under the name uncultured bacterium. Its description in RNAcentral is "partial 16S ribosomal RNA". It matches the Rfam family "Bacterial small subunit ribosomal RNA", at positions 28 to 507 of the family's 1533-position model. The record is from RNAcentral.
GACGAACGCUGGCGGCGUGCUUAACACAUGCAAGUCGAACGGAAAGGCCCUGCUGUUGUGGGGUGCUCGAGUGGCGAACGGGUGAGUAACACGUGAGUAACCUGCCCUUGACUUUGGGAUAACGUCAGGAAACUGGUGCUAAUACCGGAUAGGAGCGCCUGCUGCAUGGUGGGGGUUGGAAAGUUUCGGUGGGUGGGGAUGGACUCGCGGCUUAUCAGCUUGUUGGUGGGGUAGUGGCUUACCAAGGUUUGGACGGGUAGCCGGCCUGAGAGGGUGACCGGCCACAUUGGGAUUGAGAUACGGCCCAGACUCAUACGGGAGGCAGCAGUGGGGAAUAUUGCACAAUGGGCGGAAGCCUGAUGCAGCAACGCCGCGUGCGGGAUGACGGCCUUCGGGUUGUAAACCGCUUUCGCCUGUGACGAAGCGUGAGUGACGGUAAUGGGUAAAGAAGCACCGGCUAACUACGUG